ACGCUCGACACCUACGGGAGCAGCAGUGGGGAAUAUUGCACAAUGGGGGAAACCCUGAUGCAGCGACGCCGCGUGAAGGAUGAAGUAUUUCGGUAUGUAAACUUCUAUCAGCAGGGAAGAAAGUGACGGUACCUGACUAAGAAGCCCCGGCUAACUACGUGCCAGCACGCCGGACGGUAAUCUGAGGCGGGCUGGACGAAGGC
Molecule: ribosomal RNA, 203 nt
Filed under: uncultured bacterium
Lineage: Bacteria
Description: partial 16S ribosomal RNA
Rfam family: Bacterial small subunit ribosomal RNA
Source: RNAcentral